RNAcentral lists this ribosomal RNA (294 nucleotides) under uncultured bacterium. RNAcentral describes it as "partial 16S ribosomal RNA". It matches the Rfam family "Bacterial small subunit ribosomal RNA", at positions 775 to 1067 of the family's 1533-position model. The record is from RNAcentral.
GGAUUAGAUACCCUGGUAGUCCACACCGUAAACGCUGUCUACUAGCUGUUUGUGUGAUUUAUCACGUGGGUAGCGUAGCUAACGCGCUAAGUAGACCGCCUGGGGAGUACGGCCGCAAGGUUAAAACUCAAAUGAAUUGACGGGGGCCCGCACAAGCGGUGGAGCAUGUGGUUUAAUUCGAUGCAACGCGAAGAACCUUACCAGGGCUUGACAUCCAGCGAACUUUCUAGAGAUAGAUUGGUGCCUUCGGGAACGCUGAGACAGGUGCUGCAUGGCUGUCGUCAGCUCGUGUUG